This 276-nucleotide long non-coding RNA is filed under the name Pan troglodytes (chimpanzee). RNAcentral describes it as "long non-coding RNA NONPTRT015512". Lineage: Eukaryota; Metazoa; Chordata; Mammalia; Primates; Hominidae. The record is from RNAcentral.
UCUAUUCCAGGGAUCAGAAAACUUUUUUCUGUGAAAGGCCAAGUAGUAUAUGUUGCCCAGGCUGGUCUCUAACUACUAGGCUCAAGCAAUCCUCCUGCCUUUGCCUCCCAAAAAUGAUAGGAUUACAGGCCUGAGCCACUGUGCCCAGCAAUUUUAUAAAUAUUAUGAACUCAAUUAUGUCUGGUAACUGCGAAAGUAGUGAGUGUAUUUAAAGUGCUAUUAAUAGAUACACGCUGGGUGGUGGGAAGAGGACGCAGCUGACUGGGAGGGGGUAUG